CAAUAGCGUAUAUUAAAGCUGUUGCGGUUAAAAAGCUCGUAGUUGGAUUUCUGUCAAGGACAACUGGUCCGCCCUCCGGGUGAGCACAUAGUUUGGUCUUGGCAUCUUGCUGGAAACUGUUGCUGCGCUUGGUUGUGUGGUGCAGCUUUCAGCACUUUCACUUUGAGGAAAUUGGAGUGUUUCAAGCAGGCACAUGCCUUUGGACACAGUAGCAUGGAAUAAUUAGAUUGGGCUUUUGCUCCAACUUGUUGGUUCCUGGAGCUGAGGUGAGAAUCAAUGGGGAUUGUUGGGGGCAUCCGAAUUUAGCCGUCAGAGGUGAAAUUCUUGGAUCUGCUAAAGACGGACAACUGCGAAAGCAUUUGCCCAGGAUGUUUUCAUUGA
This 381-nucleotide ribosomal RNA is filed under the name uncultured eukaryote. Its description in RNAcentral is "partial 18S ribosomal RNA". It matches the Rfam family "Eukaryotic small subunit ribosomal RNA", at positions 592 to 976 of the family's 1831-position model. The record is from RNAcentral.